This is a long non-coding RNA of Vigna radiata var. radiata (mung bean), 3887 nucleotides long. RefSeq lists it as uncharacterized. The record is from RefSeq and is a predicted model, not a curated record. The transcript has 4 exons. NCBI's taxonomy places the organism in Eukaryota, Viridiplantae, Streptophyta, Magnoliopsida, Fabales, Fabaceae.
UUAAAUCUAUUCAAAUUAAUCCUCUCGAUCUCGGUAACAAAACCCUAAAGUUCUCCAUCCUUUCCAUCUCCGUAACAAAAUCCUAAAGUUCUCCAUCCUCUUCAUCUCCGUAACAAAACCCUAAAGUUCUCCAUGGAAAGCAUCCUCUUUCGCAUGAAGAGUCUGGCCCGCACGACCUUCUGCCUGGGCGUGGCAACCACCGCGCUCUCAUCCCUGAACAGUGUCGAUGUUGGCCAUCGUGCGGUGGUUGUCAACCGUUAUCGAGGUGUUCUCGAAGACACGAUUGAUGCGGGAAUUCAUUUCCGGAUUCCUUGGAUCGAAAAGUUUCAUAUCUUUGAUGUCCGUCGAUGCUAUCACCAAAUAAGACAACCACCAAAGACCUUCAAAUGGCCGACAUCCGAUUACACAUCCUUUUUCACCCCGACAUCACAAAACUCUCCCUCAUUGUUAAGAAGGCCUAUGAUAAGAAAACUUUUCCUGACAUAGUCAGGGAGGUGAUCAAAGACACUAUGUCUCAGGAAUUUGUCACCAUCGUCAACGAGAUGCUUCCGGACGUUAUUUCUCAAGUCAAAGCAGAGGAAUUUCUCACGAUAAUUCUUGGAUCUCUGCCCUCGUCCGCGACGGUUUAAUCCGUCGUGCCGAAGAGUUUUACAUCGCUAUCGAUGACGUGGCCUUGUUAGAGGUUGUUCUCACUAGGGAUAAAGCAUAAGAGUACCAAGGUUCACGAGAUGAAGCAGAUUUUUUCCAAGAAUGCAUCAAGGGAGAACCCUUUCCAGCAUCAACCAAAGCCAGCUAUUGAACCGCCUCCUUGGUCAAAUUCAUUGAGUGCAUAUGACAAUCUACAACAAGAAUCGGUGUGAUUUUUUUAACGCAAUUUCUGAUUCUGAGGUGCUUCAAUAGGUGCUUGUGGAAUUUAUUGUUCGGUGUGAGGCUUUAGCAUUAUUGUGCCGCUCUCUCAAUCGGUGGUUGUGGAGGUUAUUGUUGUGCCGCUUCCAAUCGGUGGUUCUGCAGGUUUCCGGUGGCGGUGAAGUUGAAGGUUUUUUUCAUUUUCGCGUCUCUCGUAAGUAACUUUAAGGUAGAGAAGCUGGACAAACUCAAUAGAUCUAGAUGUUUGGAGACACCUUAGACUAUGUAAAUGAGUUGGAGCUGCUAGAGUUGAGGUAAGGGAGCUAAUCCAUGAAUAACUUGUAAUGCUUUAUUUGGAAUGGUUGAUGUAUGUUGAUCCCUUUGAUUGACUUGUGUUUCUACCUUACCUUACCUUACGAAUGCUAGAACUUCCUAUAUGCCUUGUAAAUCUGAGUUACAAGGAAAAGAGAUCUUGGGUAGUAUGUUAAAAUAUUCAUUGAAGUCAUGAAAGUUAGUUUGAAAGCUUGAUUCUGCCUCUUGGCAUAUUAAUGAACAAACUCCUCGUUAGGUAAUAAAUUACUUAUGUUAGGUAUGUCUCUUCUUGGCCCAGUUAAUUUGGAGAUUUAUGAUGCAUUAGUUUUCUGAUUUUAGACCUAUAUUAUGUAUUAUAGUUCUGUUUUAGAUAAUAGUUAAAUGGACUCUAGUUGUUGUUGAAUCUUGGUUACUAAGAAGUAAUUAGUUAAACUUGACUAUUCUGAUUUGUAGUAUUGUUACUAAUGUAUCUCUUUUUAAAAGAUGUUGUCCCACCUUACCAAAAUGGUGGUUCAGCCUUUUCAGUAAUUGUGCAAAUUUCUUUUACUAUUUUAGUGUAUUUUAAUACUUGGACAUGGUGCUUGGCAAAAACUGAUGGAAGGUAUAGAUUGUAAUCAACACAUUGUUAUUUUAUGAUACCAUAACUUUCCUCUCACAUUAACGAGAACCAUACAUAAGUGUGGGGCAGCCUAUGUCUGAUGUGAAAUUUCUAUUUUGUGUAGCUUUUUAUCACUUCCGUGAGCUUAGUUGAUGCAAAGGACUUUUAUGAAAAUUAUUACACAUGGUAGGACACCUGGUCUAUUUUCUUUAUAAGAUUUCGGAUAGACCUUUGUUUACUUGAUAUAAGAUAGAACUUUUACUCCCAUAUAUAUAACACUCUGAAUAUGUUUUGGAAGGUUAAAAGAUGAUUCUAAAUCUUGCAAAUGUUAUGUGUUAUAUUUCCAGUUCGGUAUCUAUGAUUACUAUGAAACUAAUUUGAUAAAAUGGGAAACAGGAAUACUUUAUGUUUUGUUAUGAAUAAGGAAAUAAUUGGUGAUAUGGUUGUGCAGAAUGGUAUUGGGUAUCAAAAUUUGAAAUGGUUAUGAACUGGAACAUUAGAGUAUGCUCUGUUGGGUUACAUGUUUGAAUGAAAACUAUUUUGUUGGUCUGAAAAUGUUAUGACGCAAAUUAGAGCGAACAUGGCUUGUAUGGAUUAUUUUGGUUUAGUAGUUAUUAAUUUGAGUUGUUUUGUUAUAAUUUAGAAAAGUUGUUAGAGAUAGAUUUAUGGUAAACGGGAAGUAACAAAUGUAAAUUAUGAUUGAGAAAUAAUAAGAUAAGGGUCUAAAGUUGAACUGGAUGAUAUCCAGCAAAGUAUGGAGUUGUGUUCUAUGCAUGAGAAUUUGGAAUGUUUAGGGCCAUGCUACGUUAAGAUGUGAAUGGUAAGGAAUAAAUGUUAAGAUGUAGAUAUCGUGAACUUACAGCAAGAAUUAGCUUAUGGAAGAUAAUUCUUUAAAAAUGAAUAUAUUCUGCAGAACCGAAGGGUAUGAUUGGAGGCUUCUAUUUGUUAAAGCUGAAAUAUCCUAUUCUCACUAUAUUUUGAUAUGUUUCUUUAUAGAUAUAGGUGUGCCUAUGUUGUUUGCAUGAAUUGUGCUAAGUUCUAAAUGAUUCCUGACUUGUAAUAUAGUAUAAUAUGUGUGGAAGUUGGUGAUUUCAUAUUCUGACUGUAAGCUAUUCUGUUAGGCUAUUAAUUAAUUUAAAGAGAAUUAUAUUAGAUGAGAAAUGUUCGUAUAAGCUGGGUUGAUUGGAAUCUUUUACAGAUUAUCAAAUUCGAAGAACCUUUAGGGGUAGUAUAUUGCAUGAUAUAUUAAGUUUGGAAACAUUGGAAAUAGUAUAUAUAAUAUAAGGUGUUAUAACUUAGAAUAAAUAGGUAAUAUGUUUAAAUGGAAACUAUUUAUGUUUGGUCUGAAUAUUGUGGCACAUUAAUGUAAAUGGCAGGAAUUUUUUUCUGUUGGUCUGAAUAUUGAUUUGAAUAAAUAGAUAUGUUAGAUCCGUUGAGGUUUUGAGUGGUAACUAAUAGAGAUUCUUUGUAGUGCAAUUGUAUGGGUAUCUUUUAUUUGCUUCACUUUAAGAUAUUUUUAAUGUUUUAUUAGGUAUAUUAAGUGGUAAAUUAAGUUGAAGUGCUUUGAAAAAUAAUAGAAAUGGUACAGAGUUUGGUUAUAUUUAAAAAUUUGGUUUAGAAAGUAAGUUUGAAAUAUGACUUGUACGUAUAAAAAGAAUGACCGUGAUAAUGUAAAUAAAUCAAUUAUUAACUUAUUUGAUUAGUUUAUAAACUAAUUUGAUGAGUUAAAAAAAAAUAUUGAUAAGUAUAUAUUAAAGUUGUUUAUUUUAGAAAUUUUAAAUUGUAAGUUAUAAAUUAGCUUAUGAAAGAUAACUUAUUUAAUUUUCUUGUUUCUUUAUCUCUCAUAUUUUAAUGUGUUUUAUUUAUAUAUGUACAUAUGCUAUGAUCGUAUAAUGUAUGAUAUACGAGAGCUCAGACAGGAGUACUAAUGAUUCUGGAGCAGCUAAUGGACGAGAGAGGGAAAAUGUAAUGGAAAAUUUAUUUGUGUUCUAGAAAUUUCUUUAUAUAUGAAAGUUAUCUUGUUGUAACAUUCUGAAUCAUUAUUUUCAAUCUCGUUUAAAAUUUAAUAUUUAUGUAAUGAGUAAACUUUUUAAAUUUUUAUAUUUUAUUGACAUCAGAGGACGCUUUACAA